RNAcentral lists this ribosomal RNA (466 nucleotides) under uncultured bacterium. RNAcentral's name for it is "partial 16S ribosomal RNA". It matches the Rfam family "Bacterial small subunit ribosomal RNA", at positions 29 to 506 of the family's 1533-position model. The record is from RNAcentral.
ACGCACGCUGGCGGCGUGCUUAACACAUGCAAGUCGAACGGAAAGGCCCUGCUUUUGUGGGGUGCUCGAGUGGCGAACGGGUGAGUAACACGUGAGUAACCUGCCCUUGACUUUGGGAUAACUUCAGGAAACUGGGGCUAAUACCGGAUAGGAGCUCCUGCUGCAUGGUGGGGGUUGGAAAGUUUCGGCGGUUGGGGAUGGACUCGCGGCUUAUCAGCUUGUUGGUGGGGUAGUGGCUUACCAAGGCUUUGACGGGUAGCCGGCCUGAGGGGGUGACCGGCCAAAUUGGGACUGGGAUACGGCCCAGACCCCUACGGGGGGGAGGAGGGGGGAAUAUUGCAAAAGGGGCGGAAGCCUGAUGCAGCAACGCCGCGUGCGGGAUGACGGCCUUCGGGUUGUAAACCGCUUUCGCCUGUGACGAAGCGUGGGUGACGGUAAUGGGUAAAGAAGCACCGGCUAACUACGU